UACAGAGGGGGCAAGCGUUGUUCGGAAUUACUGGGCGUAAAGGGCGCGUAGGCGGCCUUCUAAGUCGAACGUGAAAUCCCCGGGCUCAACCCGGGAACUGCGUCCGAUACUGGAAGGCUUGAAUCCGGGAGAGGGAUGCGGAAUUCCAGGUGUAGCGGUGAAAUGCGCAGAUAUCGGGAAGAACACCCGUGGCGAAGGCGGCUCUCUGGGACGGUACUGACGCUGAGACGCGAAAGCGUGGGGAGCGAACAGG
This 253-nucleotide ribosomal RNA is filed under the name uncultured bacterium. RNAcentral's name for it is "partial 16S ribosomal RNA". It matches the Rfam family "Bacterial small subunit ribosomal RNA", at positions 524 to 776 of the family's 1533-position model. The record is from RNAcentral.